UUUCGAAAUAAAUAUCCCCUUCCUUCCUUCCUUCGAAUUCCGACGGAGGUGAGAGAUGGAGAGUAUUUCCACGCCGCCGCAGCCAUGGAUUCGACCAAGCGAGCUGUCCCCCAAGGUUCCCCGCGACGAAGCCCCAGGGCCAUGGAGGGCGACGAGAACGCGGCCCGAGGCACUCCGCCGCGGCGGGGCCCGCGUCCCCGCAGAGGAAGAAGGUUCUGGGGGAGCGGAACGGUUCAAUACCUUCAGCGAGGUAUUCCCAAAGGUCUCGUAAGGUCAAGGUGCCCGUGUCACAACGUAUGCCUUCAGUUCCACCCAGGCGAGUGCCAGUAUUAGCUCCACAUAAUACUGUGCCACUGCCGGUGUUCCAUUCAGUGCAACCUGUGCAACGGAUUGUGCCCAAACAAGAGUCAUCUGCCUGCUUGGAGCUUCCUGUGCAAUCCUUGUUGUCAGAGUCAGAUCAAUCUGUGUGCCUCAAUGUUCCAUCAAUUGGUCAUAGGGAUCGUGAUCAGAAAGUUGAGCAAGAGGAUGUGUGUGCCUCAAUGUUCCAUCAAUUGGUCAUAGGGAUCGUGAUCAGAAAGUUCAGCAAGAGGAUGGUGGCGUUGAAAGGGCUUCAGAUGGCAGUACUGUGGAUCAUAAAGACACUGACAGAUCAAAGCCACCGGUGGUUCAGUUGCUCGGAGAGUUCUCAUUUGUCGAUGCAGAUAGCUCAAGACGAGGUCUGUCAAAGACUCAAUUCAGCAUGGUGGAGACGUCACGGUUCAGGAAUCCAUGUCUUCGAGGAAGCGUGUGGUCAAGACGCAAAAGGAUUCUGACAAAAUGCAAACCCCUGGUCUUCAAGCAGCAAGAAAGAAGGAGACUGCAAGAGCAGAAGAAGAGAAGGUGGGUGCUACACCGACUCCACCGAGGCGUUCAAAUCGUCUCCGUAAACUGGCUUCUCCUUGAGCCAAGACAGACACGGUGCAUUUUAAGUUGAUGUCGGACGCUGAUUCGUCAUGUGGUGCUGGGAGCUGUGGGAGACAUCGCCUAGUUGUAACCCAACGAUGCUAAGAUUUGGUGCUGUAGCUGUAACAGGUUAACUAGUGUAGAAGAAGGCUUGCAGUGUGUUUGGUUUCCCAGAAAACCUGUAUAAUCUGCAUUUGACAUUAUUGUACUGUUUACUCUUUACCUGCCCCUGAAGGUGAAGCAGAGAUUGCUGGUUUGUAUUGAGCACGUUUA
Long non-coding RNA from Aegilops tauschii subsp. strangulata, 1215 nucleotides. RefSeq lists it as uncharacterized. The record is from RefSeq and is a predicted model, not a curated record. Lineage: Eukaryota; Viridiplantae; Streptophyta; Magnoliopsida; Poales; Poaceae.